AAUGGGUCAGCGACUUAUAUUCUGUAGCAAGGUUAACCGAAUAGGGGAGCCGAAGGGAAACCGAGUCUUAACUGGGCGUUAAGUUGCAGGGUAUAGACCCGAAACCCGGUGAUCUAGCCAUGGGCAGGUUGAAGGUUGGGUAACACUAACUGGAGGACCGAACCGACUAAUGUUGAAAAAUUAGCGGAUGACUUGUGGCUGGGGGUGAAAGGCCAAUCAAACCGGGAGAUAGCUGGUUCUCCCCGAAAGCUAUUUAGGUAGCGCCUCGUGAAUUCAUCUCCGGGGGUAGAGCACUGUUUCGGCAAGGGGGUCAUCCCGACUUACCAACCCGAUGCAAACUGCGAAUACCGGAGAAUGUUAUCACGGGAGACACACGGCGGGUGCUAACGUCCGUCGUGAAGAGGGAAACAACCCAGACCGCCAGCUAAGGUCCCAAAGUCAUGGUUAAGUGGGAAACGAUGUGGGAAGGCCCAGACAGCCAGGAUGUUGGCUUAGAAGCAGCCAUCAUUUAAAGAAAGCGUAAUAGCUCACUGGUCGAGUCGGCCUGCGCGGAAGAUGUAACGGGGCUAAACCAUGCACCGAAGCUGCGGCAGCGACACUAUGUGUUGUUGGGUAGGGGAGCGUUCUGUAAGCCUGUGAAGGUGUGCUGUGAGGCAUGCUGGAGGUAUCAGAAGUGCGAAUGCUGACAUAAGUAACGAUAAAGCGGGUGAAAAGCCCGCUCGCCGGAAGACCAAGGGUUCCUGUCCAACGUUAAUCGGGGCAGGGUGAGUCGACCCCUAAGGCGAGGCCGAAAGGCGUAGUCGAUGGGAAACAGGUUAAUAUUCCUGUACUUGGUGUUACUGCGAAGGGGGGACGGAGAAGGCUAUGUUGGCCGGGCGACGGUUGUCCCGGUUUAAGCGUGUAGGCUGGUUUUCCAGGCAAAUCCGGAAAAUCAAGGCUGAGGCGUGAUGACGAGGCACUACGGUGCUGAAGCAACAAAUGCCCUGCUUCCAGGAAAAGCCUCUAAGCAUCAGGUAACAUCAAAUCGUACCCCAAACCGACACAGGUGGUCAGGUAGAGAAUACCAAGGCGCUUGAGAGAACUCGGGUGAAGGAACUAGGCAAAAUGGUGCCGUAACUUCGGGAGAAGGCACGCUGAUAUGUAGGUGAAGUCCCUCGCGGAUGGAGCUGAAAUCAGUCGAAGAUACCAGCUGGCUGCAACUGUUUAUUAAAAACACAGCACUGUGCAAACACGAAAGUGGACGUAUACGGUGUGACGCCUGCCCGGUGC
RNAcentral lists this ribosomal RNA (1269 nucleotides) under Escherichia coli. RNAcentral's name for it is "partial 23S ribosomal RNA". It matches the Rfam family "Bacterial large subunit ribosomal RNA", at positions 614 to 1869 of the family's 2925-position model. Lineage: Bacteria; Pseudomonadati; Pseudomonadota; Gammaproteobacteria; Enterobacterales; Enterobacteriaceae. The record is from RNAcentral.